Molecule: long non-coding RNA, 1837 nt
Organism: Daktulosphaira vitifoliae (grape phylloxera)
Lineage: Eukaryota; Metazoa; Arthropoda; Insecta; Hemiptera; Phylloxeridae
Exons: 2
Source: RefSeq, a predicted model, not a curated record
AGCUGGUCUAAUAGCACAACCAGUGACACCGUAACUCACCACACCGAUGAGAACGUUUUGACCUGUGUCCCGUUGAAAAGUCAAAGGACCACCACUGUCACCCUGAAAUAUUAGGUUGGUAGGUAAAACUACUAUUUUAAUAUCUAGCUUGAAGUAGAGUAUAGUUGAGCAACUUUAAAGGAAUUAACAGAAAAUAUGACAACCUAUCAAAAACAUCGUUUUAUGUGUUCAAGGAGCCAUCAUUGAUCUCUUUAAGAAAUGUUUUAAUGUAAAAAAAUGAUCUGUAAUGAACUUAUACGAUAAACAAUAUUCCCAGAACUUCUUCCAUUAUCUCUGAAAAAAAUAUCUUCUUUUCUACUGUUUUUUGUAGUUUGCGGAUGGGGUCCAUGGAGUCCAGAAUUCUCCGUAGACAUGAAAUCAUAGUAGUAGGGGUAGUGGAAGGGUGACUGUUACCUCUACUACACGUUCUAAAAACUUCUGGACCCCCAUAUAAAAUUUCUAAAUACGCCAUUGAUUAUUACAAGUAAUACAGAAACUUUUACUAUAAUACUUUAAUAACACUUGAAACUUUAUCGAUACUAUUAUAUUACUCAUGAAAAAGUAUUUGACAUGCUAAUUUACUUACAAAGCAUGUUCCUUGUAGAGAAGGAGCCGCUGCACAAAGCAUACCUAAUCCCACGUGAUCGCCGAUCAGCCGAGCACAUUGAAAAUUUGACAGUACUUCAACGGUAAGCUUUUGGAGUAUUGGACUAGGAUCACCCAUGGGAAAUGAAGUAAUUCCCCAUCCGAUUACUGAACUCUUUUGACCAACCAAUGAGUCUCCUGAAGUGUAUUAAAACAAAAAACCUUGGCACAAUUUUUUUUUUAAAUUUUACUCUAAAUAAAAUACGGAUUUUAAUAAUCAGUGUUAUUUUUUAUACAACAUGUUUAAAAAUGCUUAAUCACGUUUUCGUAAUUUAAAAAAAAAUUUUUUUAUUUUUUGUAGUAGAUUUAAUGAUUUCAAAUUAAACGGUGCCCAGAAAACAAAACUUUUUGUUCUGAAUAAAAAUUAUUAAAAUCUAAAGUUACAACUUUAUCAAAGUUAUUAACAAACGUUAGUUUGUUUAAAACAGUAUUAACCGAAAAUUAAACAUACUUUUGAUAUCGCGAAAUAAUUUACUUGAAAUUAAACAAUUUGAAAUGUCUUUCAUCAGUCUGGGAAUAUUUUUUUUUAUCAUUACUAGUACUAGUGAUGUAUUAUAAAAAAAAAUAAGUAAAGAACUAUUAACGUUAUAAAAUAAGUAGUUGACAUUUUACUUUUUGCUUUAAAGAGAAGUGAAUUUCUAAACAAUUUUUUUAAAAAUGAACUAUUUAGAAAAAUGUUAAAUACAAGUUUUUUAAGGAACACAUGGCAAUUUAAAAUUUAUAAUCAUUUAAAAAUUUUGAUAUAACUUGAAUUUUAUUCUAAAUUAUUUAUAAGGAGUUAUACUACCAAACGUUAUAGAAAUUACUGAAGAACAUACCUCCAUUUCCAGAAGGCAAGCACACAGGUUGCACAUUGUUAUUUAAAUUGGCGGGGAUGUUGAGUCGAAGCAGCGCAAUAUCAUUAGCCAACAGAAAUGGAUGGAAGUGUGAAUGAAAUAUAACCUGAGAAACAGAUCUUACUUGAUGUUCUGUUUCAUUGUCUGUAGUCAAGUCAUUAUCACCCAAAUGAACCAUGAGGCUGUCAAUGGGCGUGUCUCUCCUGUAUAAUAGGAUUAAUAAUACAUUUGUUAAUCAUAUAAUACUCAUAAGAUUGUAUAUUUCUCUAAUGCCAAGUUGUUGUUUUAAAGACACAAUAAAAACAGUAAACCAAUAA